This 73-nucleotide transfer RNA is filed under the name Mycetomoellerius zeteki. Its description in RNAcentral is "Trachymyrmex zeteki tRNA". It matches the Rfam family "tRNA". From Rfam's summary of the family: Transfer RNA (tRNA) molecules are approximately 80 nucleotides in length. Their secondary structure includes four short double-helical elements and three loops (D, anti-codon, and T loops). Lineage: Eukaryota; Metazoa; Arthropoda; Insecta; Hymenoptera; Formicidae. The record is from Rfam by way of RNAcentral.
ACCUCGGUGGUCUAAAGGCUUAGGACGCUCGCAUAGGAUGCUAGAGACCCGGGUUCGAUUACCGGCUGAGGUA